This 514-nucleotide ribosomal RNA is filed under the name uncultured bacterium. RNAcentral describes it as "partial 16S ribosomal RNA". It matches the Rfam family "Bacterial small subunit ribosomal RNA", at positions 28 to 523 of the family's 1533-position model. The record is from RNAcentral.
GAUGAACGCUGGCGGCGUGCCUAAUACAUGCAAGUCGAGCGAACAGAUGAGAAGCUUGCUUCUCUGAUGUUAGCGGCGGACGGGUGAGUAACACGUGGGUAACCUACCUAUAAGACUGGGAUAACUCCGGGAAACCGGGGCUAAUACCGGAUAAUAUUUUGAACCGCAUGGUUCAAUAGUGAAAGAGGGUUUCGGCUGUCACCUAUAGAUGGAACCGCGCCGUAUUAGCUAGUUGGUAAGGUAACGGCUUACCAAGGCGACGAUACGUAGCCGACCUGAGAGGGUGAUCGGCCACACUGGAACUGAGACACGGUCCAGACUCCUACGGGAGGCAGCAGUAGGGAAUCUUCCGCAAUGGGCGAAAGCCUGACGGAGCAACGCCGCGUGAGUGAUGAAGGUCUUCGGAUCGUAAAACUCUGUUGUUAGGGAAGAACAAAUUUGUUAGUAACUGAACAAGUCUUGACGGUACCUAACCAGAAAGCCACGGCUAACUACGUGCCAGCCGCCGCCGUAA